Molecule: ribosomal RNA, 440 nt
Filed under: uncultured bacterium
Lineage: Bacteria
Description: bacterial SSU rRNA
Rfam family: Bacterial small subunit ribosomal RNA
Source: RNAcentral
CCUACGGGAGGCAGCAGUAAGGAAUAUUGGUCAAUGGACGCAAGUCUGAACCAGCCAUGCCGCGUGGAGGAUGAAGGUCCUCUGGAUUGUAAACUUCUUUUAUCGGAGAAGAAACCCAUACUUUCUAGUGUGGUUGACGGUACCCGAUGAAUAAGCACCGGCUAACUCCGUGCCAGCAGCCGCGGUAAUACGGAGGGUGCAAGCGUUAUCCGGAUUCACUGGGUUUAAAGGGUGCGUAGGUGGGUUGGUAAGUCAGUGGUGAAAUCUCCGGGCUUAACUCGGAAACUGCCGUUGAUACUAUCAAUCUUGAAUGUUGUGGAGGUAAGCGGAAUAUGUCAUGUAGCGGUGAAAUGCUUAGAUAUGACAUAGAACACCGAUAGCGAAGGCAGCUUGCUACACAAUAAUUGACACUGAGGCACGAAAGCGUGGGGAUCAAACAG